CCCUACGGGGGGCAGCAGUGAGGAAUAUUGGUCAAUGGGCGAGAGCCUGAACCUGCCAAGUCGCGUGAGGGAAGACGGUCCUAUGGAUUGUAAACCUCUUUUGCCGGGGAGCAAAAAGCGGUACGUGUACCGCAUCGAGAGUACCCGGAGAAAAAGCAUCGGCUAACUCCGUGCCAGCAGCCGCGGUAAUACGGAGGAUGCGAGCGUUAUCCGGAUUUAUUGGGUUUAAAGGGUGCGCAGGCGGCGAGUUAAGUCAGCGGUAAAAUUUCGGGGGUCAAACCCGACAAGCCGUUGAAAUUGGUUUU
Molecule: ribosomal RNA, 305 nt
Filed under: uncultured bacterium
Lineage: Bacteria
Description: bacterial SSU rRNA
Rfam family: Bacterial small subunit ribosomal RNA
Source: RNAcentral